This 787-nucleotide long non-coding RNA is filed under the name Pan troglodytes (chimpanzee). RNAcentral's name for it is "lincRNA". The record is from RNAcentral. Lineage: Eukaryota; Metazoa; Chordata; Mammalia; Primates; Hominidae.
AAAAAAAAAAAAAAAAAAAAAAAAAAAGCUGUAAAUCCAAGGCCUAAAAGCUCCCCUCAAUGGGAAGUGGAAUCUCUUUCUCCACCUCUUCAAUAUGGCUGGCCCUGGAACUUCCCUUGGCACACAGAAUGCAGCAGAAUUGGCUUCAUAUUGUUUCUAAGCCUUGGCCUCAGAGGCCUUGCAUGCUUCCUAACCCUGGCUCUAGGAAACUUGCUGCUGUCAUGUAAUCAAGCCCAGGCUAACCUGCUGAAUGUUGGUGUGUCCCAGUCAAAUCCAGCACUGCAACCAAUAGCCAGCCAGCCACCAGACAUGUGAGUGGGGCCACCUCACACCAGCCAACCUCCACCAAGUCAUCAGAUGUAUGAGUGAGAACAGCCCAGAACAACUGAGCCCGUCCAGACCAGCGGAACGACCAAGCUGACCAGUAGACUUAGGAGCAGUAAACAGAUGAUUGUUCUGGAAGCCAUUCCGUUUAGGGUGUGUGUGUUAUUGCUUGCAUCCAAAUACAUCCUAUCUCAUCUAGUGAGAAAAGGCCCCGCUCAAGGGCUUUUGCAGCUGUAGUUGGGCGCCGGAAGUGUCUUUGUGGUCAUUUCUUACUCCAUACACGGGGAGAUCAAGGCUCAGACCAGGUAAUGUGACUGUGGAUGACACUUUCCUUACCCCUCUGUGGCACUUGAAUCAAUGAAGCAGAUUCACAGAAGCAUGCAUGCUCACUGAACACAGUAUUUGCAUUCCUACCUCCAGACCUUUGCUCCACCCAUGCAUCCAGUAAGAAUGCCUGCUUCCC